GAUGAACGCUGGCGGCGUGCCUAACACAUGCAAGUCGAGCGAUUUACUUCGGAGAUGGGCGGCGGGCGGGUGGGGACGGCGGGGGUAAUAUCCCGUGUACACCCGGAUAACAUAACGAAAGUUAUGCUAAUACGAGAGAGUAUGCAUUUAUCGAAUGGUAGAAGUAUCAAAGUUUUUGCUGUAUAGGAUGGAUGCUAGUCUGAUUAGCUGGUUAGUGAGUGCACUGCCCACCAAGGCGACGAUCAGUAGCCGACCUGAGAGGGUGAUCGGCCACAUUGGAGCUGGGACACGGUCCGAACUCCUACGGGAGGCAGCAGUGGGGAAUAUUGCACAGUGGGCGAAAGCAUGAUGCAGCAACGCCGCGUGAGCGAUGAAGGCCGUCGGGUAGUAAAGCGCUGUCCUCAAGGAAGAUAAUGACGGUACUUGAGGAGGAAGCCCCGGCUAACUACGUG
This 452-nucleotide ribosomal RNA is filed under the name uncultured bacterium. Its description in RNAcentral is "partial 16S ribosomal RNA". It matches the Rfam family "Bacterial small subunit ribosomal RNA", at positions 28 to 507 of the family's 1533-position model. The record is from RNAcentral.